CCUACGGGCGGCAGCAGUGAGGAAUAUUGGUCAAUGGACUCACGUCUGAACCAGCCAUGCCGCGUGCAGGAAGACUGCCCUAUGAGUUGUAAACUGCUUUUGUACGAGAGUAAACGCAGCUACGUGUAUCUGUCUGAAAGUAUCCUACGGAUAAGGCACGGCUAAAGCCGGGCCAGCCGCCGCGGUAAUACGGAGGGUUGCAGGGUUAUCCGGAUUUAUUGGGUUUAAAGGGUGCGUAGGCGGUAGGAUAAGUUAGAGGUGAAAUCCCGAGGCUCAACUUCGGAAUUGCCUCUGAUACUGUUCGGCUAGAGAGUAGUUGCGGUAGGCGGAAUGUAUGGUGUAGCGGUGAAAUGCUUAGAGAUCAUACAGAACACCGAUUGCGAAGGCAGCUUACCAAGCUACUUCUGACGUUGAGGCACGAAAGCGUGGGGAGCAAACAGGAUUAGAUACCCUUGUAGUC
RNAcentral lists this ribosomal RNA (460 nucleotides) under uncultured bacterium. Its description in RNAcentral is "partial 16S ribosomal RNA". It matches the Rfam family "Bacterial small subunit ribosomal RNA", at positions 338 to 795 of the family's 1533-position model. The record is from RNAcentral.